UAGGGAAUCUUCGGCAAUGGGGGGAACCCUGACCGAGCAACGCCGCGUGAGUGAAGAAGGUUUUCGGAUCGUAAAGCUCUGUUGUUAAGGAAGAACGAGUGUGAGAAUGGAAAGUUCAUGCUGUGACGGUACUUAACCAGAAAGGGACGGCUAACUACGUGCCAGCAGCCGCGGUAAUACGUAGGUCCCGAGCGUUGUCCGGAUUUAUUGGGCGUAAAGCGAGCGCAGGCGGUUAGAAAAGUCUGAAGUGAAAGGCAGUGGCUCAACCAUUGUAGGCUUUGGAAACUGUUUAACUUGAGUGCAGAAGGGGAGAGUGGAAUUCCAUGUGUAGCGGUGAAAUGCGUAGAUAUAUGGAGGAACACCGGUGGCGAAAGCGGCUCUCUGGUUUGUAACUGACGCUGAGGCUCGAAAGCGUGGGGAGCGAACAGG
Molecule: ribosomal RNA, 429 nt
Filed under: Bacteroidota bacterium
Lineage: Bacteria; Pseudomonadati; Bacteroidota
Also listed under: 1 other name
Description: Bacteroidetes bacterium partial 16S ribosomal RNA
Rfam family: Bacterial small subunit ribosomal RNA
Source: RNAcentral